AUUAUUGCAUAAAAAACCAUGAAACAACCACUUCAUCCUUAUGCUCCCAGAUUCUGUAGGUCAGGAAUUUGGAAAGAGAACAGAAGGCAUGGCUCUUCUCCAUGAUGUCUGGGGCUUCAGCUAUGUUGAGUCCCAUGGCUGGGGCUAGGAUGGAUGGGGCUGGAUGACCCAUUGACCUGGCAACAUCUUGGCUCCUAUGUCCAGUCUUUGAGUUGGGCUGGCUGGCGGCUGGCUGAGUUGGGGCUGGUGACCAGAGCAUCUACCUGUGGUCACUGCAGCAUGGCGGCCUCAGGCUCCAGGGACCGCUCACAGGGAAGUUCAGGGCCCCAAGGGCAGAUGUUACCAGGCAACAAUGCAAGUCUAGAUUGCCUUCCAUGACUUGGCCUUGGGAGUCAUACGGUACCACUUCUGCCAUUCUCUAUUGGUCAAAGCAGACCCAGAAUCCAGGGGAGUGGACACAGCCCCUACCUCUUGAUGGGAAAAGUGCCAAAGAAUUUGUGACCAUGUUGCAACUUGCCGUAUUGCACGUUGUUCUUUCACCUUCCUUACAACCCAUCCUGAAGCUGCAGGAACAAGAUCAGCUCUGCCUGAAAAUCAGCACAGCGCCUCUAGCCCAGUCCACAGAGGUUCUACCAAGAAAGGCUGCUAUGACGGUUUCCUGAGGUGUGACAGACAUCCUGAAGAGGCACUCAGCACCCAUUCUCAACUCCUUCUGGAGUGUCUUCCUCUACUGCAGAGGCGGGAACUCUGAGAGCCAUUUUUCCAGUCUCACUUGCAGCUGGGGUUCUAACUGUGAAUUAGGUUCAACCAAUUAUAUGCAUUUGCAAGAGAUUUGGAAGUCAGAAUGGAGGCAGAAGCCACUUCCUACUGAUUGGCUGUAAACACUGGCAAGCAUGAUUGUGGUAACACCGGGGCUUUCUGAAGCCAUGUCUCAAAGUUCAGCCACUGAUUGCAUGGGUGUCGAGAGACAUUAAAGUGGUGGUGACAGAACUUUCUAAUGAACAGAUUUCAGCUAAAACAAUGUGUCUUCGGAGUCACUAUUCCCAGUGACAGGCUCCUGAUUUCCUCCCUUUACGGUGGUGGCAGAUGUGGAAGCACCCGCAAGCCGGCUCCUCCAGCCUUCCCAACGACGUUGUAAACACCUGCUUCUCUCUAGACAAUGACUUUCUGCUUAAAAUAGCUGGCGUGGUUUUUGCUUCCUGCAACUAAGCCCCAUUGAUAUAUGCUGUUUUCCUUCUUUCCCUCUAACUGCUGGUUUUCACAACAGCCAACCCCGCAAUCGAUCCUUUAAGCUCUAAAAUGAAAGCCUUGAAUAUCUUCAUCACUCCAUAUCCUGCUUUGUUUUUCUCCAUAGCAGUGAUUGUCACCCAAAGAUUAUUUUUAUUAUUUGUUGAUUGUCCACCUUACUAGGAUUUAAGCUCCAUUAGAACAGAUACUUUGUUUUGUUCACUUCUGUGACAACUCUCUGACAUUUAGAAGAGUACUAGAAAAUAGCAGGAAUUCAGUACAUAGGGUUGAAUGAACGAAAUCUACCUUUCUUAACCAAACACCACAUUAAAUUCAUGCAUUAAUAGGGUCAUCGACAAGAUAUCCUCAAUAACACCUCCUCAUGAAACAUUUACCUGGGUUUUAAAAAUCCUCCAAAAACACAAAAUAUCAUUUGUGCUAUGUAACUCAGCAUUACAUUUAGGUGACAUCCCCUCCCAGUUUGCCUGAGACGUUCCUGGUUUUAGCACUAAAAGCCCCAUGUUCAUGAGAAUCCCCUCAGUUCUGGGCAAAAAGAUGAUUGGUUAUCCUAAUUAAAUAUCUUAGUUGCUGAGAAAGGCACUGUAAUUACAUUACUUUAGAUCAAUUUUGCAAAUAAAAGUUUGAAGACACAAAUCCACCUGUGGUCUCCUUCCCAUAUCAGCUGUGUUGCACAGGAUCCCCGGAACCAUCAGGUAAAAUCCAAGCAAUGGCUUUGGGUUGUAUUUUAUGUUUUUUACUAAAAUUUCUAUUGCUUGUACCCUGAAUAUUUCAGAGCUGAGCCUGUGAAAUCUUUUCUGCAUCUCAGUUACAUUCGAAACAUGAGCUUCCCAGAGAAAAGAUACUGCAGCAUAAACAUGUGCUCUUGAGUCACAGCACCGGGGAAGUCCCCUUGGGAUCCAGCAGAGUGAACUCUGCAGAAAAUAUGGAUCAAUGUUAAUUCUGGGGAUGAAUAAAGGCUUAGUCAUCACCUUCCCCCGAUUAAGGAACGCACUCCCAUCUCGCUGCUAACAUUAUCCUGAAACUUCAGGCAGUGAGUUCCGGUGCAAUGUGUGGAUUCGAAAUGUCAACGCUUCUGAACUGGCAUAUUAGAGAAAAUUUGGAGAAUAAGAGUAUUCUCAGACACACAACCCAAGCUGCCAGAACAUCUUGGAUAUCCUCUCCCUGAUGAUUCAUGUGGAGAGAUGUUUGGGUGUUUAGAUUUUAAAAUAUGCUUCCCAACCAAAAGUGAAACUUAAAGAUGCUAUCACUCUGGAGUUUUUUUGCACCUGCAAAACAAAAAUUUGUGUUUUUAAAAUUAACUGUUUUCGCGACACAGUCUGUUGCAUGUGAUAUUGGUGUUUCUCCAGCCAAGCAUGUAAGGG
Molecule: long non-coding RNA, 2609 nt
Filed under: Homo sapiens (human)
Lineage: Eukaryota; Metazoa; Chordata; Mammalia; Primates; Hominidae
Description: HSALNT0081891
Source: RNAcentral